CCUACGGUGUGCUGCAGUGAGGACUAUUGGUCAAUGGACGAGAGUCUGAACCAGCCAAGUAGCGUGAAGGCUGACUGCCCUAUGGGUUGUACACUUCUUUUAUAUGGGAAUAAAAUGUUCCACGUGUGGGAUUUUGUAUGUACCAUAUGAAUAAGGAUCGGCUAACUCCGUGCCAGCAGCCGCGGUAAUACGGAGGAUCCGAGCGUUAUCCGGAUUUAUUGGGUUUAAAGGGAGCGUAGGUGGAGUGUUAAGUCAGUUGUGAAAGGUUGCGGCUCAACCGUAAAAUUGCAGUUGAAACUGGCAGUCUUGAGUACAGUAGAGGUGGGCGGAAUUCGUGGUGUAGCGGUGAAAUGCUUAGAUAUCACGAAGAACUCCGAUUGCGAAGGCAGUUCACUGGACUGCAACUGACACUGAGGCUCGAAAGUGUGGGUAUCAAACAGGAUUAGAUACCCGGGUAGUC
This 460-nucleotide ribosomal RNA is filed under the name uncultured bacterium. RNAcentral describes it as "partial 16S ribosomal RNA". It matches the Rfam family "Bacterial small subunit ribosomal RNA", at positions 338 to 795 of the family's 1533-position model. The record is from RNAcentral.